AGCCUACCUAUUGUAUAUUCCUCCUUGUGGUUAACCUAUUGUAUAUUCCUCCUCUGGGUUAACUAGACCUGUGAUCUUUGCUACCUAUUUCUUUUAUCUUAAUAGAUAAUGUGAGAGAUAGGCGAUGAAAUGGUGGUUGUAAAUACCUCCUAAAUUAAUGGUAUAAAAAACUCCUGGUAAAUUCAUUGUGCAAACUCAUCUGCUUGUAAAUUCAUUG
Molecule: long non-coding RNA, 217 nt
Filed under: Oryza brachyantha (malo sina)
Lineage: Eukaryota; Viridiplantae; Streptophyta; Magnoliopsida; Poales; Poaceae
Description: long non-coding RNA (OBRA_LNC003664)
Source: RNAcentral